AUUGAACGCUGGCGGCAGGCCUAACACAUGCAAGUCGAGCGGAUGAGAGGAGCUUGCUCCUCGAUUCAGCGGCGGACGGGUGAGUAAUGCCUAGGAAUCUGCCCAGUAGUGGGGGACAACGUUUCGAAAGGAACGCUAAUACCGCAUACGUCCUACGGGAGAAAGUGGGGGAUCUUCGGACCUCACGCUAUUGGAUGAGCCUAGGUCGGAUUAGCUAGUUGGUAGGGUAAAGGCCUACCAAGGCGACGAUCCGUAACUGGUCUGAGAGGAUGAUCAGUCACACUGGAACUGAGACACGGUCCAGACUCCUACGGGAGGCAGCAGUGGGGAAUAUUGGACAAUGGGCGCAAGCCUGAUCCAGCCAUGCCGCGUGUGUGAAGAAGGCCCUCGGGUCGUAAAGCACUUUAAGUAGGGAGGAAGGGCUUACAGCGAAUACCUGUGAGUUUUGACGUUACCGACAGAAUAAGCACCGGCUAACUUCGUGCCAGCAGCCGCAGUAA
Molecule: ribosomal RNA, 500 nt
Filed under: uncultured bacterium
Lineage: Bacteria
Description: partial 16S ribosomal RNA
Rfam family: Bacterial small subunit ribosomal RNA
Source: RNAcentral